RNAcentral lists this long non-coding RNA (877 nucleotides) under Neogale vison (American mink). Its description in RNAcentral is "Neovison vison (American mink) lncRNA (ENSNVIG00000000107.1)". Lineage: Eukaryota; Metazoa; Chordata; Mammalia; Carnivora; Mustelidae. The record is from RNAcentral.
AGGCUGGCUCACACAUGCCAAUGGUGUCUGCUCCGUGAUGGGCAUCAGGGGCUCCCCGGUACCCCUUCCCAAGCUGCACCCGGGGCCUCGUGGUGCCUGUCUGGAGCUCUCGUUGAGAGGGGAGCUUGAGCACACGCUGCUGCAUGCUGGGGUCUGCCUUGGGGCCAUCCUCCAUCAAGGAGGCUGGUGAACCUGCUAACUCGCCCAUUCCUCCAGUUUAAGGAGUCAGCCCUGAGAAAACAGUCUUUGUACCUCAAGUUUGACCCGCUCCUAAAGGACAGCCCUCAGAGACCAGGGCCUGUGGCUCCAGAGACCAGCAGUGCACAGGAUGUGGCCGUGCCUUCCUCAGGAAACUUGCCAGAGGCGAAGCUCGUGGAACUUGACUUCCUGGGACCCCCAGGUGCUCCCGUAAGUGCUCUUCCCCUUGUGAUGCAGAGAGAAGACUCUGGUUACGGGCCUGAUGACACGAGUGGGUGCAGCACCCCUCCUUGGCAUGGGGUAGGGGGAUUCCCUGCUGCCCUGGGAGCCCCUGGCCUCUGAGGACCUAUCCUCCCAACAGUAGGGUAGAGGUGGGGGUGGCUCCCAAAAGAACAUAUGGCUCAGCUUGUCGUCCCCCCACAGAUGCUGGAUCCCCCUCCCUGUGUCUUUGGGCCUGGGGGGCCACCACUGUCCAUGGGCUCCAUCGUGGACGUGUUGCAGUACAGCCAGAAGGACCUGGAUGCAGCGGUGGAGACUACACGAGAGGAGAAUGUGCUGCUGAGGAGCCAGUGUGAGACGCUGCGCGCCAGGAACCUGGAGAUGGGGUAAGGCUCGCAGUGCUCACCGGGCGGCCUGGGUGCAUCUGCCGCGGACGGCACAGGCGGCCAUGGGCACCUCC